RNAcentral lists this transfer RNA (107 nucleotides) under marine sediment metagenome. RNAcentral describes it as "tRNA-Arg". It matches the Rfam family "tRNA". From Rfam's summary of the family: Transfer RNA (tRNA) molecules are approximately 80 nucleotides in length. The record is from RNAcentral.
GGGCCUGUAAUCUAGCCUGGAUAGGGUGCCCGGCUUCGGUAUCUGGGAGAGGACAUCUCUCAGAGGGGGAGACUGGGAUGUCGCAGGUUCGAAUCCUGCUAGGCCCA